GAGGCUUUUCUGAUGAGGAUAUAGAGCAUACACGCUGAAGACUGGCUACUACGCAUGGAAGAUCCAGGAAGUGAUGCCGAUUCAGAAACAUAAUUGGAGGAUGGUUUUUGUGCACCCCAAGCUGGGGGUUUGCAUUUUCUUUUCCUUUUUUGGUGGACAAUACAAACUACGCGCUGAUCAAUGUAUAUUAGACGAUUCAGGUAUAAACAUGUUAGUAGACAUAUAAACUGUGGACCCAUGUCCCAAAAUUCAGAAACAGUUGCCAUCAGGAAAUACACAUUACCGCAGAAUUUGACGAAGGAAUGUUGGUUCUUUUGUCCGUGAGUAUUUUCAUGCAUAUGAUGAACUGGUC
RNAcentral lists this long non-coding RNA (352 nucleotides) under Hordeum vulgare. Its description in RNAcentral is "long non-coding RNA (HVUL_LNC003140)". The record is from RNAcentral. Lineage: Eukaryota; Viridiplantae; Streptophyta; Magnoliopsida; Poales; Poaceae.